GGCGCGCGAUACAGGGUGACAGCCCCGUACACAAAAAUGCACAUAUUGUGAGCUCGAUGAGUAGGGCGGGACACGUGGUAUCCUGUCUGAAUAUGGGGGGACCAUCCUCCAAGGCUAAAUACUCCUGACUGACCGAUAGUGAACCAGUACCGUGAGGGAAAGGCGAAAAGAACCCCGGCGAGGGGAGUGAAAAAGAACCUGAAACCGUGUACGUACAAGCAGUGGGAGCCUCUUAAUGGGGUGACUGCGUACCUUUUGUAUAAUGGGUCAGCGACUUAUAUUCUGUAGCAAGGUUAACCGAAUAGGGGAGCCGAAGGGAAACCGAGUCUUAACUGGGCGUUAAGUUGCAGGGUAUAGACCCGAAACCCGGUGAUCUAGCCAUGGGCAGGUUGAAGGUUGGGUAACACUAACUGGAGGACCGAACCGACUAAUGUUGAAAAAUUAGCGGAUGACUUGUGGCUGGGGGUGAAAGGCCAAUCAAACCGGGAGAUAGCUGGUUCUCCCCGAAAGCUAUUUAGGUAGCGCCUCGUGAAUUCAUCUCCGGGGGUAGAGCACUGUUUCGGCAAGGGGGUCAUCCCGACUUACCAACCCGAUGCAAACUGCGAAUACCGGAGAAUGUUAUCACGGGAGACACACGGCGGGUGCUAACGUCCGUCGUGAAGAGGGAAACAACCCAGACCGCCAGCUAAGGUCCCAAAGUCAUGGUUAAGUGGGAAACGAUGUGGGAAGGCCCAGACAGCCAGGAUGUUGGCUUAGAAGCAGCCAUCAUUUAAAGAAAGCGUAAUAGCUCACUGGUCGAGUCGGCCUGCGCGGAAGAUGUAACGGGGCUAAACCAUGCACCGAAGCUGCGGCAGCGACACUAAGUGUUGUUGGGUAGGGGAGCGUUCUGUAAGCCUGUGAAGGUGUACUGUGAGGUAUGCUGGAGGUAUCAGAAGUGCGAAUGCUGACAUAAGUAACGAUAAAGCGGGUGAAAAGCCCGCUCGCCGGAAGACCAAGGGUUCCUGUCCAACGUUAAUCGGGGCAGGGUGAGUCGACCCCUAAGGCGAGGCCGAAAGGCGUAGUCGAUGGGAAACAGGUUAAUAUUCCUGUACUUGGUGUUACUGCGAAGGGGGGACGGAGAAGGCUAUGUUGGCCGGGCGACGGUUGUCCCGGUUUAAGCGUGUAGGCUGGUUUUCCAGGCAAAUCCGGAAAAUCAAGGCUGAGGCGUGAUGACGAGGCACUACGGUGCUGAAGCAACAAAUGCCCUGCUUCCAGGAAAAGCCUCUAAGCAUCAGGUAACAUCAAAUCGUACCCCAAACCGACACAGGUGGUCAGGUAGAGAAUACCAAGGCGCUUGAGAGAACUCGGGUGAAGGAACUAGGCAAAAUGGUGCCGUAAC
This 1378-nucleotide ribosomal RNA is filed under the name Escherichia coli. Its description in RNAcentral is "partial 23S ribosomal RNA". It matches the Rfam family "Bacterial large subunit ribosomal RNA", at positions 349 to 1734 of the family's 2925-position model. The record is from RNAcentral. Lineage: Bacteria; Pseudomonadati; Pseudomonadota; Gammaproteobacteria; Enterobacterales; Enterobacteriaceae.